CCGCGUGAGUGAAGAAGGCCUUCGGGUUGUAAAGCUCUUUCAGUUAGAAAAGAAAAAGCCGUGACUAAUAAUCAUGGUUCAUGACGGUAUCAACAGAAGAAGCACCGGCUAACUACGUGCCAGCAGCCGCGGUAAUACGUAGGGGUGCAAGCGUUAAUCGGAAUUACUGGGCGUAAAGGGUGCGCAGGCGGUUCUGUAAGUCAGAUGUGAAAUCCCCGGGCUUAACCUGGGAACUGCGUUUGAAACUGCAGAGCUAGAGUGCGGCAGAGGGAGGUGGAAUUCCAUGUGUAGCAGUGAAAUGCGUAGAGAUAUGGAAGAACAUCGAUGGCGAAGGCAACCUCCUGGGCUAGCACUGACGCUCAUGCACGAAAGCGUGGGGAGCAAACAGGAUUAGAUACCCUGGUAGUCCACGCCCUAAACUAUGUCAACUAGUUGUCGGGCCUUAAUAGGCUUGGUAACGUAGCUAACGCGUGAAGUUGACCGCCUGGGGAGUACGGUCGCAAGAUUAAAACUCAAAGGAAUUGACGGG
RNAcentral lists this ribosomal RNA (529 nucleotides) under uncultured bacterium. RNAcentral describes it as "bacterial SSU rRNA". It matches the Rfam family "Bacterial small subunit ribosomal RNA", at positions 397 to 917 of the family's 1533-position model. The record is from RNAcentral.